Panicum virgatum (switchgrass) is the source of this 1175-nucleotide long non-coding RNA. RefSeq lists it as uncharacterized. The record is from RefSeq and is a predicted model, not a curated record. NCBI's taxonomy places the organism in Eukaryota, Viridiplantae, Streptophyta, Magnoliopsida, Poales, Poaceae. The transcript has 6 exons.
AUUUUCAGAAAUGAGGGGAGAGAGAGCGGCGGGGUCAGAGCACCUGUUCAUUUCAUUCCCCAUUUUCUCUCUAAGGUUAGUCUCUUUCCUCUCUCCUCGAUCGCAUCGAUUGGCAAUUUUUCGCAUCCAACCUCUUGCAUCACCCGCACAUCAGCAACUCGGCUAGAUCCGGUUGUCAUCAACGGCAUCUUGGACGAGCUGGGGAUUCCGCGGUGUCUAUCCGGGAGCGAGGUGUCGAAGCGCAGAUCAGGACACUCUUAGAUAGAUCUGCGUGAAAUCAAAAUCCAAUCGUGCCCCCCCCCCCCCCCCCCCUCCUCCGCUCAUGGCCCGCAGCUCGCUGGCGGUUCUGCUCCUGCUUGCGAUGCUCCCGGGCGUGGCCGCUGCUGGGGACAUCUUCCACCAGGACGACUAGGCGUUGAAGAUUCCCGGCUGCACCAACAAUUUGAUCCUGGUAUGGUCGCGCCGUACGGUCUUGCCUGCACGAGUAUCUGUCGACUCAGGAGCAUCUUUGCUUGCAAGCUGCUGGGGAACAACUUUAUUAGGGACGAUUGCAAUUUCCUGACUUAAAAAGGUGCUUGGUUCGUUGAUAAUGAAGUGACAAAAGGGCAGAAGCAGCAGCAAGGUCAUGCUGCCUCAUCUAAUGUGGGAAGGAGGUUGCCCAAAUAAUUUGUGAAUAUUUAAAGGAUGAACUAUGAUUUACAUUACUCGGCAAGAAGAUGUAGAUGCAGUAAGAUUUGAUUCACUCUUAGAUUGUAAAAAGCAGCAUUUCUUUGCUUGUCCAUAGUCAAGCUUCCGGGAAAAACUAUUUUUUGCUGCAGGCAAGAUAUGAAUGACAGAAUGAGCUCAUACAAUGAUGUGACAGUCAAAACUAGUGAGGCUUCACUUUACACGAUCAUGAAAGGAGCUAAUAAGUUAUACAAGUAUGAAGUACAGUAAUGUGCGUUUGUGAUAAUAUGAUCGAAGUUCUUGUGAGAUGCCUGCACAGCACUAGAGUCAUGAAAGUUUAAUAGUUGCCUGUGAUGUAGUUUUUUAUUCAAGGAAUGAGGGAGAGGCAAAUCUAUUUGUGUAAAUAGACUUCUGUAAACUAAUUGCUAUGCUUAUGACAUUUUGCAGUUCUGUAUAAUGUGUGUAUACUUACUCAUAUGCAUUCUAAAUACAAUUAUAUAUUCUAUCCA